Molecule: unclassified non-coding RNA, 430 nt
Filed under: soil metagenome
Description: partial contains 5.8S ribosomal RNA, internal transcribed spacer 2, and large subunit ribosomal RNA
Rfam family: 5.8S ribosomal RNA (bases 1-120)
Source: RNAcentral
GAUGAAGAACGUAGCGAAAUGCGAUACGUAAUGUGAAUUGCAGAAUUCAGUGAAUCAUCGAAUCUUUGAACGCAUAUUGCGCUCUCUGGUAUUCCGGAGAGCAUGCUUGUUUGAGUAUCAGUAAACACCUCAACUCCCCUUUCUUUUUUGAAAUGGGAGCUGGACUUGAGUGAUCCCAACGCUUUUCUCACCGAAAAGUGGCGGGUUACUUGAAAUGCAGGUGCAGCUGGACUUUUCUCUGAGCUAAAAGCAUAUCUAUUUAGUCUGCCUAAAAACAGAUUAUUACCUUUGCUGCAGCUAACAUAAAGGAGAUUAGUUCUUGUGCUGACUGAUGCAGGAUUCACAGAGACAGCUUCGGCUGGCCUUUGUAAACUCGAUCUCAAAUCAAGUAAGACUACCCGCUGAACUUAAGCAUAUCAAUAAGCGGAGA